CAUAUCGUUAUGAUUUUAUAUAUCUCACGUUCUCCUAUUUGCUUCGCGAAGCUAAUUUUUUUGUUUACAGGUUUUUUUUUCAAGUACAUUAUACUUUACAAUAUUGCCAACAAUUCUUCAUGGGGUUCAAAUGAAUAUUGUUUAAUGCCCAGUGUACAAUUUUAUAAUUACUACAUUAUUCUUCGAGCCGAAUACUAUUCAACAUUAAGAGGGUAUGAAUAUUUCUAUCAUUGACUAUACGCCGUUUAGUUUUUGCGCAUUUCUGGCAAAUAGAAUAUUUACGAAUAUUUACGGUCAAUAUAAACUACUACGCACAUACCGAAAGGAAUGUAAACAUAGAGAAUAAUAUGUGCGAUCCUGGAAUGUGCCCCACCAAUUCUCUUCCUUUGGAAGUCACAGAUUCCUGCUCAGUUUCAUACGAACAGCGAUUCGAUCAAGUGAACAUAACAGUUAGUAAAUUUUGAAAAAAAAAACCAUGGGAGAAUCUGAUAACAAUUAUCAACAAAUGUUCAGGGACGUACAGCUGCUGCUGCAGCAGCAACAGGAGCAGCAUCACCGUGAGAUGC
Osmia bicornis bicornis is the source of this 566-nucleotide long non-coding RNA. RefSeq lists it as uncharacterized. The record is from RefSeq and is a predicted model, not a curated record. The transcript has 3 exons. NCBI's taxonomy places the organism in Eukaryota, Metazoa, Arthropoda, Insecta, Hymenoptera, Megachilidae.